RNAcentral lists this transfer RNA (70 nucleotides) under Myotis davidii. It matches the Rfam family "tRNA". Rfam says of the family: Transfer RNA (tRNA) molecules are approximately 80 nucleotides in length. Their secondary structure includes four short double-helical elements and three loops (D, anti-codon, and T loops). The record is from Rfam by way of RNAcentral. Lineage: Eukaryota; Metazoa; Chordata; Mammalia; Chiroptera; Vespertilionidae.
CAGUUUGGCUCAGUGGAUAGAGCGUCGGCUUGCAGACUGAAGAUCCCAGGUUCCAUUCCUGGCAAGUUGG